ACACAUGCAAGUCGAACGGUAACAGGAAACAGCUUGCUGUUUCGCUGACGAGUGGCGGACGGGUGAGUAAUGUCUGGGAAACUGCCUGAUGGAGGGGGAUAACUACUGGAAACGGUAGCUAAUACCGCAUAACGUCGCAAGACCAAAGAGGGGGACCUUCGGGCCUCUUGCCAUCAGAUGUGCCCAGAUGGGAUUAGCUAGUAGGUGGGGUAACGGCUCACCUAGGCGACGAUCCCUAGCUGGUCUGAGAGGAUGACCAGCCACACUGGAACUGAGACACGGUCCAGACUCCUACGGGAGGCAGCAGUGGGGAAUAUUGCACAAUGGGCGCAAGCCUGAUGCAGCCAUGCCGCGUGUAUGAAGAAGGCCUUCGGGUUGUAAAGUACUUUCAGCGGGGAGGAAGGGAGUAAAGUUAAUACCUUUGCUCAUUGACGUUACCCGCAGAAGAAGCACCGGCUAACUCCGUGCCAGCAGCCGCGGUAAUACGGAGGGUGCAAGCGUUAAUCGGAAUUACUGGGCGUAAAGCGCACGCAGGCGGUUUGUUAAGUCAGAUGUGAAAUCCCCGGGCUCAACCUGGGAACUGCAUCUGAUACUGGCAAGCUUGAGUCUCGUAGAGGGGGGUAGAAUUCCAGGUGUAGCGGUGAAAUGCGUAGAGAUCUGGAGGAAUACC
RNAcentral lists this ribosomal RNA (670 nucleotides) under uncultured bacterium. RNAcentral describes it as "bacterial SSU rRNA". It matches the Rfam family "Bacterial small subunit ribosomal RNA", at positions 51 to 710 of the family's 1533-position model. The record is from RNAcentral.